Molecule: ribosomal RNA, 392 nt
Filed under: uncultured bacterium
Lineage: Bacteria
Description: partial 16S ribosomal RNA
Rfam family: Bacterial small subunit ribosomal RNA
Source: RNAcentral
ACACGGCGGAUCCGAGCGUUAUCCGGAUUUAUUGGGUUUAAAGGGUGCGCAGGCGGCCAUUUCAGUCAGCGGUUAAAUCGUGGGGCUCAACCCCAUUCUGCCGUUGAUACUGGGUGGCUUGCUUGCGGUCGAGGCUGGCGGAAUUCGUUGUGUAGCGGUGAAAUGCAUAGAUAUGACGAAGAACACCGAUUGUGUAGCCAGCUGACCAGACCGCAAAUGACGCUCAUGCACGAAAGUGCGGGGAUCGAACAGGAUUAGAUACCCUGGUAGUCCGCACAGUAAACGAUGAAUACUUGUUUUCGGCGAUAUAAUGUCGGAUGCAAAGCGAAAGCGAUAAGUAUUCCACCUGGGGAGUACGCCGGCAACGGUGAAACUCAAAUGAAUUGGCGGGG